This 387-nucleotide long non-coding RNA is filed under the name Actinidia chinensis (golden kiwifruit). RNAcentral describes it as "long non-coding RNA (ACHI_LNC000802)". The record is from RNAcentral. Lineage: Eukaryota; Viridiplantae; Streptophyta; Magnoliopsida; Ericales; Actinidiaceae.
CCGAAGAUAAAAAAAUCUCAAUUGGGUUCGGCUGAAAAGCGGGGAAAGUGAUGAGAACUCAAAGGAUUUCCCCGAAUUCAACCCUAGAAACACAAAUGGGCUCAACAAAUUAGCAACCCAGAACGUUGAAAAGCGAGAGAAUGAUGACAACACUCAAGAUUGUCUCUGAAAUUGAGUUAUGAGUUGAUAAAAACCAAAAACGAAGAGACCCAAAAUCAGAGAGAGAGUAGAUGAAGUAGACGAGGAGGAUGAGGACGAUGAAACCCUAACAGGAGAGCGGAGUUAUUUAUAUUGGGGGCUGCUUUGGACCGCGUGGAUUGGGGGGUCGUUGAAAGAGAAAUUUCUAAAACCGAAACGAUUAAAUUAAUUAAUCAUAUUAAUAACCAC